RNAcentral lists this ribosomal RNA (405 nucleotides) under uncultured organism. RNAcentral's name for it is "bacterial SSU rRNA". It matches the Rfam family "Bacterial small subunit ribosomal RNA", at positions 45 to 433 of the family's 1533-position model. The record is from RNAcentral.
UGCCUCAGACAUGCAAGUCGAACGCGAAAGUCCCCUUCGGGGGACAAGUAGAGUGGCGCACGGGUGAGUAACACGUAGGUAAUCUACCUUUGGAUGGGGAAUAACAACCGGAAACGGUUGCUAAUACCGCAUAAUGCAGCGGCACCUAAUGGUGACAGUUGUUAAAGCGGGGGAUCGAAAGACCUCGCGUCUGAAGAGGAGCCUGCGGCGGAUUAGCUAGUUGGUAAGGUAAUGGCUUACCAAGGCUACGAUCCGUAACCGGCCUGAGAGGGCGGUCGGUCACACUGACACUGACAUACGGGUCAGACUCCUACAGGAGGCAGCAGUCGGGAAUUUUGGGCAAUGGGCGAAAGCCUGACCCACCAACGCCGCGUGAAGGAUGAAAUCCCUCGGGAUGUAGGCUUC